This 1460-nucleotide ribosomal RNA is filed under the name Escherichia coli O157. Its description in RNAcentral is "partial 23S ribosomal RNA". It matches the Rfam family "Bacterial large subunit ribosomal RNA", at positions 1271 to 2716 of the family's 2925-position model. Lineage: Bacteria; Pseudomonadati; Pseudomonadota; Gammaproteobacteria; Enterobacterales; Enterobacteriaceae. The record is from RNAcentral.
UGCUGGAGGUAUCAGAAGUGCGAAUGCUGACAUAAGUAACGAUAAAGCGGGUGAAAAGCCCGCUCGCCGGAAGACCAAGGGUUCCUGUCCAACGUUAAUCGGGGCAGGGUGAGUCGACCCCUAAGGCGAGGCCGAAAGGCGUAGUCGAUGGGAAACAGGUUAAUAUUCCUGUACUUGGUGUUACUGCGAAGGGGGGACGGAGAAGGCUAUGUUGGCCGGGCGACGGUUGUCCCGGUUUAAGCGUGUAGGCUGGUUUUCCAGGCAAAUCCGGAAAAUCAAGGCUGAGGCGUGAUGACGAGGCACUACGGUGCUGAAGCAACAAAUGCCCUGCUUCCAGGAAAAGCCUCUAAGCAUCAGGUAACAUCAAAUCGUACCCCAAACCGACACAGGUGGUCAGGUAGAGAAUACCAAGGCGCUUGAGAGAACUCGGGUGAAGGAACUAGGCAAAAUGGUGCCGUAACUUCGGGAGAAGGCACGCUGAUAUGUAGGUGAAGUCCCUCGCGGAUGGAGCUGAAAUCAGUCGAAGAUACCAGCUGGCUGCAACUGUUUAUUAAAAACACAGCACUGUGCAAACACGAAAGUGGACGUAUACGGUGUGACGCCUGCCCGGUGCCGGAAGGUUAAUUGAUGGGGUCAGCGCAAGCGAAGCUCUUGAUCGAAGCCCCGGUAAACGGCGGCCGUAACUAUAACGGUCCUAAGGUAGCGAAAUUCCUUGUCGGGUAAGUUCCGACCUGCACGAAUGGCGUAAUGAUGGCCAGGCUGUCUCCACCCGAGACUCAGUGAAAUUGAACUCGCUGUGAAGAUGCAGUGUACCCGCGGCAAGACGGAAAGACCCCGUGAACCUUUACUAUAGCUUGACACUGAACAUUGAGCCUUGAUGUGUAGGAUAGGUGGGAGGCUUUGAAGUGUGGACGCCAGUCUGCAUGGAGCCGACCUUGAAAUACCACCCUUUAAUGUUUGAUGUUCUAACGUGGACCCGUGAUCCGGGUUGCGGACAGUGUCUGGUGGGUAGUUUGACUGGGGCGGUCUCCUCCUAAAGAGUAACGGAGGAGCACGAAGGUUGGCUAAUCCUGGUCGGACAUCAGGAGGUUAGUGCAAUGGCAUAAGCCAGCUUGACUGCGAGCGUGACGGCGCGAGCAGGUGCGAAAGCAGGUCAUAGUGAUCCGGUGGUUCUGAAUGGAAGGGCCAUCGCUCAACGGAUAAAAGGUACUCCGGGGAUAACAGGCUGAUACCGCCCAAGAGUUCAUAUCGACGGCGGUGUUUGGCACCUCGAUGUCGGCUCAUCACAUCCUGGGGCUGAAGUAGGUCCCAAGGGUAUGGCUGUUCGCCAUUUAAAGUGGUACGCGAGCUGGGUUUAGAACGUCGUGAGACAGUUCGGUCCCUAUCUGCCGUGGGCGCUGGAGAACUGAGGGGGGCUGCUCCUAGUACGAGAGGACCGGAGUGGACGCAUCACUGGUGUU